Molecule: long non-coding RNA, 1598 nt
Organism: Pipistrellus kuhlii (Kuhl's pipistrelle)
Lineage: Eukaryota; Metazoa; Chordata; Mammalia; Chiroptera; Vespertilionidae
Exons: 2
Source: RefSeq, a predicted model, not a curated record
AAUUGAAAAAAAUGUUUUAUUUACAAGAAAAAGUCUGUACACUGUGUAUACAUAAAAAUAUACAAAACCAAAAUAGAAAAUAUCAAAACCUUAAAAUGUGUACAAACACCUUUAAAAUGCAACCCCUGGAAACCUCAAGCCAUAGUUUGAAGAGCACACAUUUCAUUUAAAAAUUGUCAUACAAAAGAAAGUCCCAAUGCUGUUAAAAAAGUUCACUGGUUUCUACCAGAAAAGUUUUCUAAGUAUUUUUUUUUAAUCUAGGAUAAACAGAAUGUGUGAUAUUAUAUUAUGUCUUAAUGCUACCAGUACAGUUAAUUUGCUUGAAACGUACCUAAUGAGAAGAUGCUUUUCUGUAGAACCAAUCAAUGUUUCUUCCCUGAAUCUUGUGAAAGUCAUGAGUUGUCAACUUCUCAUCAAACUUCAGAGUGACAUUAAGCUGUCUUCAUGUCAUGGGUUCACCUUCACAGUGAUGUUUAAAUAUGUUCACUAUACUGAGUGUAUGGAAGACUAAUUUUUUUAAACAGAAGGACAAAUAACAUUUGUUUCCUUCUCUUAAAAACUGGUUGUUUGCAUAAUUAAAAUAGGAUUAUUACAAAGAUUUAAGAAAUAAAGUUUGAUGAAAAAAGACAAUUUAAAUCCAACCAUGUGUGUAGAUAUGUAUAUAUACAAUUAUAUAACUAUAUCCAUAUGCACACUUUUAUAACAAGAAUGAGAACUAAUUCUUUAAAUUCCACCGGCCCAAACUUGUAGAGGAAUAUGCUGUAUUAUAUUUUCUUACUAAAAAGCUUCACCCGUUCAAUAAAACAAGAACCAGCACUUACAUUUUAUCCUUGAAUUGACAGAAAUACCUUUCAUUUCCCAAUUUUGUAAAGUCCUAGUGACAGAAAAUAUGCAGAAUAUUUUUCACAAUGGAAAUAUCCAGAGUACAAAAAAAUUUUAAACUCAGGCACAUUUUAUGCAAGCAAUUCAUUUCUAAAUGUAUCUGCCUUUACAAGCUGUGCAACCACUGGAUAGAGUUCUAGACUAUCAGAAUGUGAGAAGUCACAUAGAUAGUGUUGUAGAGUAUAUGCAGAGGCUAUUGGCCUAUAUAUUCAGUCAUGUAUUUCUCCAUAAUCCUCCCACCUCCUUCUCCCAUUUCUUUUCAUAGCUAAGCAGAAGUGAGCCAGGUGACUUUGGCCAUCAGUCCAAACAUGCUCUGUGCCAUGUGUUUCCGGAGACCUGAAUCUAGUUAUCUGUGCAGACAUCACAUACCAUGACGCAUGUGAAGCUGACCCCACCUACAUCAAAAUUCUCCCAUCACAUACCAUGGCACAUGUGAGAUUGACCCCACCUAAGGUGCCCAAUGGGACCUGGUUAAUUCAGUGACGGAAGUGCUGCCACCAAAAAGGGUUAUUUCUUGAGAAAAGCAGCCCCGUACUGACUGAGGGGAGGGUCACGCUCACAGGGCCAGCACUGCCUUCCAUGGGGACAGUGAGAACACUCCACCUGGUACACCUUACCCUCACACCUGGACGGACUGGUGAAAGGAGUUAGGGAGAAUCUAGAUGAACGUAAGCUGUCAUCCUUUGCCAACAGUUAUUUCUUUGUGAUUACAACAA